Molecule: ribosomal RNA, 495 nt
Filed under: uncultured bacterium
Lineage: Bacteria
Description: partial 16S ribosomal RNA
Rfam family: Bacterial small subunit ribosomal RNA
Source: RNAcentral
GACGAACGCUGGCGGCGUGCCUAAUACAUGCAAGUAGAACGCUGAAGGAGGAGCUUGCUUCUCUGGAUGAGUUGCGAACGGGUGAGUAACGCGUAGGUAACCUGCCUGGUAGCGGGGGAUAACUAUUGGAAACGAUAGCUAAUACCGCAUAAUAGUAGAUGUUGCAUGACAUUUGCCUAAAAGGUGCAAUUGCAUCACUACCAGAUGGACCUGCGUUGUAUUAGCUAGUUGGUGGGGUAACGGCUCACCAAGGCGACGAUACAUAGCCGACCUGUGAGGGUGAUCGGCCACACUGGGACUGAGACACGGCCCAGACUCCUACGGGAGGCAGCAGUAGGGAAUCUUCGGCAAUGGACGGAAGUCUGACCGAGCAACGCCGCGUGAGUGAAGAAGGUUUUCGGAUCGUAAAGCUCUGUUGUAAGAGAAGAACGAGUGUGAGAGUGGAAAGUUCACACUGUGACGGUAUCUUACCAGAAAGGGACGGCUAACUACGUG